UACGAAGGGGGCUAGCGUUGUUCGGAUUUACUGGGCGUAAAGCGCACGUAGGCGGUUUGUUAAGUGAGAGGUGAAAUCCCAGAGCUCAACUCUGGAACUGCCUUUCAUACUGGCAAGCUAGAGUCCGGAAGAGGUAAGUGGAACUCCUAGUGUAGAGGUGAAAUUCGUAGAUAUCGGGAGGAACACCGGUGGCGAAGGCGGCGACCUGGGUCGAGACUGACGCUGAGGCGCGAAAGCGUGGGGAGCAAACAGG
This 253-nucleotide ribosomal RNA is filed under the name uncultured bacterium. RNAcentral describes it as "partial 16S ribosomal RNA". It matches the Rfam family "Bacterial small subunit ribosomal RNA", at positions 524 to 776 of the family's 1533-position model. The record is from RNAcentral.